This 202-nucleotide unclassified non-coding RNA is filed under the name Hevea brasiliensis (rubber tree). Lineage: Eukaryota; Viridiplantae; Streptophyta; Magnoliopsida; Malpighiales; Euphorbiaceae. The record is from RNAcentral.
GCGAUGAUGAGAGACGGAGAAUCUAGGAGAAUAAAGAAAAGGGUGUAGGAGGAAAGAAGGGGAAAGAUGGAGGGAGCGGGAAAUGCAGAAGGGGGAAGAGAAGGAAGAGAAACACAAGGAAAGAGAAGGGUCGGCCAUGGAUGAGAGCAUUAGGAAAGAAGAAUGGGAUUGGUGUAGGGAGAAGGAAGAAUCUGAAGAGGGU